This 497-nucleotide ribosomal RNA is filed under the name uncultured bacterium. RNAcentral's name for it is "partial 16S ribosomal RNA". It matches the Rfam family "Bacterial small subunit ribosomal RNA", at positions 28 to 507 of the family's 1533-position model. The record is from RNAcentral.
GAUGAACGCUGGCGGCGUGCCUAAUACAUGCAAGUCGAGCGAACAGACGAGGAGCUUGCUCCUCUGACGUUAGCGGCGGACGGGUGAGUAACACGUGGAUAACCUACCUAUAAGACUGGGAUAACUUCGGGAAACCGGAGCUAAUACCGGAUAAUAUAUUGAACCGCAUGGUUCAAUAGUGAAAGACGGUUUUGCUGUCACUUAUAGAUGGAUCCGCGCCGCAUUAGCUAGUUGGUAAGGUAACGGCUUACCAAGGCAACGAUGCGUAGCCGACCUGAGAGGAGGACCGGCCACACUGGAACUGAGACACGGCCCAGACUCCUACGGGAGGCAGCAGUGGGGAAUUUUGGACAAUGGGGGAAACCCUGACCCAGCCACGCCGCGUGCGGGAAGAAGGCCUUCGGAUCGUAAACCGCUUUUAUUGGGGAAGAAAACAUCUGUGCUAAUAUCCCCGGGUGAUGACGGUACCGGAAGAAAAAGCACCGGCUAACUACGUG